AGAGUUUGAUCCUGGCUCAGAAUCAACGCUGGCGGCGCGCUUAACACAUGCAAGUCGAACGAGAAAGGGGAGCAAUCCCUGAGUACAGUGGCGUACGGGUGAGUAACACGUGGAUGAUCUACCUUCUGGUGUGGAAUAACCCUGGGAAACCGGGGCUAAUACCGCAUAAGCUCGAGAGAGGAAAGCAGCAAUGCGCCGGAAGAGGAGUCCGCGGCCGAUUAGCUAGUUGGCAGGGUAAAAGCCUACCAAGGCGAAGAUCGGUAGCCGGCCUGAGAGGGCACACGGCCACACUGGCACUGAAACACGGGCCAGACUCCUACGGGAGGCAGCAGUGGGGAAUCUUGCACAAUGGGGGCAACCCUGAUGCAGCGACGCCGCGUGAGCGAUGAAGCCCUUCGGGGUGUAAGGCUCUUUCGGCAGGGAAGAUGAUGACGGUACCUGCAGAAGCAGCUGCGGCUAACUACGUGCCAGCAGCCGCGGUAAUACGUAGGCAGCGAGCGUUGUUCGGAGUUACUGGGCGUAAAGGGUGUGUAGGCGGUUGUUUAAGUUUGGUGUGAAAUCUCCCGGCUCAACUGGGAGGGUGCGCCGAAUACUGAAUGACUAGAGUGCGGGAGAGGAGAGUGGAAUUCCUGGUGUAGCGGUGAAAUGCGUAGAUAUCAGGAGGAACACCGGUGGUGUAGACGGCUCUCUGGACCGUAACUGACGCUGAGACACGAAAGCGUGGGUAGCAAACAGGAUUAGAUACCCUGGUAGUCCACGCCCUAAACGAUGCAUAUUUGGUGUGGGCAGUUCAUUCUGUCCGUGCCGGAGCUAACGCGUUAAAUAUGCCGCCUGGGGAGUACAGUCGCAAGGCUGAAACUCAAAGGAAUUGACGGGGGCCCGCACAAGCGGUGGAGCAUGUGGUUCAAUUCGACGCAACGCGAGACCUUACCUGGGCUCGAACGGCCGGUCAACGGAGGUGGAAACAUCUUUACCCGCAGGGGGUCCGGUCGAGGUGCUGCAUGGCUGUCGUCAGCUCGUGUC
This 1023-nucleotide ribosomal RNA is filed under the name uncultured bacterium. RNAcentral's name for it is "bacterial SSU rRNA". It matches the Rfam family "Bacterial small subunit ribosomal RNA", at positions 8 to 1066 of the family's 1533-position model. The record is from RNAcentral.